Molecule: long non-coding RNA, 2512 nt
Organism: Manis javanica (Malayan pangolin)
Lineage: Eukaryota; Metazoa; Chordata; Mammalia; Pholidota; Manidae
Source: RefSeq, a predicted model, not a curated record
GGGGCCCUGGAGAGCGGUGCGCGGCCGCAGACCCUGGCUGUCGCUGCUGGCUUUAGUGUGUCCGGCCUUUCAGAGACCACAAACUCAGGCAACGGGCUCGGUGGGCGCAUCCAGCUAUCGGAGGAUCCUGAAAUAGAAGGAUAUUGCCUGGACUGAUGGUCUUGAAGCCUCUUGCAACAAUUGAAAUAAGACAUUCUUAACUCCAUGGAGACAAAUGGAUGAAUCAGUUCACAGAUUAUCAUUAUGUUCGUGUUGAGAGGAAGUCGGGUGACAAAAUAUGGCAGGCCACUUCUGCCUGUCUCAUCACUCCCAGUGUCUUUUGUAGCACCUAAACCUGAGAUGAUCCUCCCAGCUACAGGAAGCUGGAGAACAGCCUUAGCCCAGCUACAGGAAUGAAGAAAACUUCCCGGGAAAUGGGGAAACAAAGGCCAUCUGCCAGCACCAACCUGGGAGGAUUCACACCCACUUGUGCCUUGGGUAGCAGGCCAACUGACCUAAGUCCCGACUGUGGACUGCCGACCUGGCUUCAGCCCCUCUUAGCUACGGUCUGGGAUCGGUCCUGCUUACCCGAGGACCCAGCAGAACUGACACUCCUCUGUGUCCCUAGAGGCAUUGGUUUGACUGUGGAUCCUGAUGCAGCCCUGUGACCUGGCUCCAGCCUUGCUUGGUAUAAUCCAUGGGAAGUCCUGCCUACUCAGAACCUGAUAGAAAGCAUGCCUGUCCAUAACCCUGAGGCAGGUCUGCAGACCUUGGGCACAGUUCUGUGACCUGGUUUGAGCCUCAUCCAAUUGCGGUCUGGGGCCAGUCUUGUUCACCCAGUGACCUGCCUGGUGAUGCAGCACGAACAUUCCCAGGGACAUGGUGGGAUUCAGAGCUUUCUGCACACUUGGAGACAGGCCCACUCUCUGCAAACACAACUGCAGACCCGAAGUGGACCACCCUUGUCCCAGCACCAGCCCUACUACCAACGUCCUGGAGGCAGUCUGGUCCUCUUGGGAAACAGGCAGGAUUUACAACCACCUAAGCUCUUGGUAGCAGGACCCCACUAUGGACCCAGCUUCAAGUCCACUCAACUGCAAUACCAGAGACAAUUCCAUCAUCCAGGGAUCUGAAAGAUCUUUUCCUGGCAAAGCCAGUGUGUAGAGACUGAAAGAGGUGUUUACUCCUUCAAAUGCUCAAGAAAAGAGAUACCAAUACAAGGCUACAUAGAUAAUGAAAAAUCAGGUAAACAUGACACCAUCAAAGGAAAUUAAUAAAGCUCCAGUAGCCAACCACAAAGAAAUGGAAAUUUAUAAAUUGCCUGACAAGGAAUUCACAAUAAUCAUCUUAAAGAAGCUCAGCAAGAGGCAAAAGGACAUAGACAACUAAAUAAAAUCAAGAAAGCAUUAUAUGAACAAAAUGACAAGUUUAUUAAAGAAAUAGAAACCAUAAAGAAUGAACCAAACAAAUCCUGAACCUGAACAAUACAAUGAUUGAAGUGAAAAACUCCAUUGAGAGUUUCAAUAAUGAGAGGCUUGAUCAUGCAGAAGAAAGAGUUAGCUAACUUGGAGACAAGUCAUUUGAAAUCAGCAUGGUGACUAUAGUUAAUAAUACUCCUUUGCAUAUUUGAAAUUUGCUAAGAGAGUAGAACUUAAGUGUUCUCACCACAAGCCAAACAUGGUAACUAUGCGAAAUGAUGGAUGUGUUCAUUAGCUUAUUUGUGGUAAUCAUUUCUCAAUGUGUACAUGUAUCAAAUAUCACAUUGUACAUCUCAAAUAUAUGCAAUUUUUAUCUGUCAAUUAUACCUCAGUAAAGCUGGAAAAAAAACCCGAAGAGAAAUAUGUAUUAUAAUGGAAUAUCAGAAGAUUCAAGAUUUGGCCACUCAUUAAGUGUCCAGCAACGCUCUCAUGUUUUCAGAAACUCAACUCUAUAAAGUUGCCAAGGGGCUUUGGUUAGAACCUCUGCCUCAUAGUUAGUGGGUGAUGCCUGAUUGGCGGGGGGCCCGUGGUUGUAGAAGUCUCUUGAAAGCACAUGGCCUUUGUGAAGUUUCCCUCCUGCAUCAGAGAGGUCCGUGGUGUGGCCUGUCUCAUCUCUACCUCCUGCAGGCCUCAGCACAGAGCCCAAGAUCAGAUCAGAAAAUUGGGCCCUAUCAUCAGAAGGCUGGAUUAUUGAACCCUCUCUCCUAAGGAGGCAUGUACAUAUACUGAAAAUGGCAGUUCUUGGCUUUCACAGGGAGAUUAUAAGAGAUAGGUCAAGUGACGUUGGAACUGGUAGCCUCUGUUUUAUUUCCAUAGGGCUGACCAGGAUGGAACUUGGGUGGGCAAUGUGUAUGCGUAAGCUGGUUGAAGACAGUGAACUAGAAUGUUUGAAGAGCACACAUAGGUUUCUUUAACUUCAUGGUUUAAAAUCCCUGGGAGUUCUGUUGAAUCCUGUCAAAGUGGGGAAUAGAAGGGUUUGGAGGCCCAGUGUACUACUCAGUCAAAGCAGCUUACUUACCUGUCCCCUAUGCAUUUUGCAUUUGAUUCCAUGUAAA